RNAcentral lists this long non-coding RNA (1947 nucleotides) under Marmota monax (woodchuck). Lineage: Eukaryota; Metazoa; Chordata; Mammalia; Rodentia; Sciuridae. The record is from RNAcentral.
AGCUUAUGUUAUGAGAAACCCCAUUUUCAAAAUCUUUUUAUCAUGUAUCUUUGAUAUUAGACUGAUCAUGCCAAUGAAGUGUGGAUUAUGAGAAGGGAGGAGCCUGAAUUUUUGAUGGAAUAACCUCACCUGGAACCAGAGAGGAGUCACAAUAGCAGCUCUUGGUGCUGACUGCAUACCUAUAGUUUUCACAGAUCCUGUCAAAAAAGCAUGUGGGGUUUCUCACUCUGGUAAAUAUAUUUAAUUAAGCAUUGAGGAUUCUCAUAAAUUUUUAAUGCAGGAAAAAAUGAAUUUUUCUAGUGGGCGUGACAGUUAAUUAUAUUACUUUGUGAUCGAUGUAAUGAUAGGGGUGGGGCCUGUGUACUAUACUCUUAUUAUAGGAGCAGAUAAAGGGAAUAUAUAAGUCAAAUGAUAUGAAUUAGAGUAGAAUUCCCAAAGGAGAUGGUGCCUAGGUAGAUUCCUGAGGAGUCUUUAGGUUUUGGCUCAGUGUCAGUGUUUGUAAGCAAGGAUAUUAUUAUUUUUUUAAUGCUUAACAUUUAUGAGUUAUAGAAGGAAUUCACAUCAGAAACCAUUUUCACCUAUCGACAGGCAUAAUGUGUAGCACAUACUAAGCAUUAUUAUAUUGCACUGUGUUAAGUGUUUAACAUCUGUCAGCCUUCCAACAAUGGAAAGUAGUCAAAUCUACCAUUAUCCCCAUUUUACAGAUGAGGAAACUGAAGAACAGCAAUUUAAGUAACUUAACCUAAGAUCAUGUGGCUAGUAUUUGGUAGAGCCAGACUAAGCUCAGAAGUGGCUUUGUGCCUAUGCUGCUAACCACUGUGCUUCACUGCCUCUGGGUGCUGCUGGAUGCAUGAAACUGCUUCUCACAUGUAGUGGGCAGGUAAAUUGGUAUAACUGGUAUAUUUGAUAAUGGAGAAGUAUUGGCAGUGGCUUGUAGAAAAGUCUUAGAAUAUCUUUGCAUGGAAUAAGGUUUUCUAAAAGCUGAGAAGAUGAGAAGAUUUUAGAGGGAUACUUUAUCUCUGAGCUACAUCCCUAGUCCUUUUGUUUGUUUGAUUUGUUUUUUGGUACCAGGGAUUGAACUCAGAAGCACUCAACCACUGAGCCACAUCCCCAGUCCUAUUUUGUAUUUUAUGUAGAGACAGGGUCUCACUGACUUGGUAAGCAAGGAUAUUAUUAACAUUAAGGGGUAAGAUAAUUCUACUGUGCCCUUGAAAGUAUCUUUGGCCCUUGCAAUUCUUAAUGCCAGUAGCACCCCCAGUCAUUGCAAUAAUCAAACAGCAACCCUCCAUUCUUGUCUAAGUACUGCCUAGGGACACAAUGCUACCUCUGCUUGGGGACCCUUGAUAUUCAGGCACCAGGGAGUAGGAAUGUCAGGCAUGGUAUACAAAGAAAUUCACACAGAUGCAGCAGCCCAUGUAAAAGUAGGGAGUUAAAAAAAGGAAGACAUGUUUGCAAAACUGCAUUUAGUUUAAACAACUACAUGUGUUUAACGAUAACUGUUGCCGAAGAGCACAGAUGUACUUUUAGAUGCUAUACUAAGGUUACAGAAUUUUUUUUGGUGAAGGUAUUUGAAAAUAAUAUUUAAAUUAUCCUGUGAUUAUGAUUCUAUGUGAAAUGAGAACUGAUGUUUUGAAUUCCUUCUUACUUGUAAAUCUGUGACUACUUUGAUAUUUAGACUAUAAAGAAAAAAGUGACAUAUUUUUCUUCUGACCUAGCUAAAUUAAUGGAAUUGGUUGAGAAUUCAGGGUUAUCAUAUGACAUUGUCAAAAGUUGUUUAAGUUUUGGAUUUCAGUUCUUGGCUUUAAAAAGGAAAUACUAUUUACUAAUAAUGUUUUGAAAUGUUUAUUUUUAAGAUCUCUAAGAUGAAGCAGUCUAUAUGAUGAAUUUAAUAAAAAUUCCUCAGCCAGAUGUAUAUAUUUGCAUAUGCAUGUCCUUCAGGAAAGAAAC